AGAGUUUGAUCCUGGCUCAGGAUGAACGCUAGCGGCGCGCUUAACGCAUGCAAGUCGAGCGAUGAGGCUUCCUUCGGGGAGUACAUCAGCGGCAGACGGGUGAGUAACACGUAGAUAACCUGCCCUCAAGACGGGGACAACCGGUGGAAACGGCGGCUAAUACCCGAUAUGCUCACAGUCUCGGGAGAGGGAGUGAGGAAAGGCUCAGGUGCUUGAGGAGGGGUCUGCGGCCCAUCAGCUAGUUGGUGAGGUAACGGCUCACCAAGGCAAGGACGGGUAGGGGGCGUGAGAGCACGGCCCCCCACAAUGGGACUGAGACACGGCCCAUACUUCUACGGAAGGCAGCAGCGGGGAAUAUUGCGCAAUGGACGGAAGUCAGACGCAGCGACGCCGCGUGGGUGACGAAGGCCUUCGGGUUGUAAAGCCCUUUUCUGGGGGAGGAGGAAGGACAGUACCUUAGGAAUAAGCGUCGGCUAACUACGUGCCAGCAGCCGCGGUAAGACGUAGGGCGCAAGCGUUAUCCGGAUUUACUGGGCGUAAAGCGCCUGUAGGCGGUGAUAUAAGUCGGAUGUGAAAGCCCCGUGCUCAACGCGGGGAAGCCAUUCGAUACUGUGUGACUAGAGGGCGGCAGAGGGAAACGGAAUUUCUGGUGUAGCGGUAAAAUGCGCAGAGAUCAGAAAGAACACCAAUGGCGAAGGCAGUUUCCUAGGCCGCACCUGACGCUGAGAGGCGAAAGCUAGGGGAGCGAACAGGAUUAGAGACCCUGGUAGUCCUAGCUGUAAACGCUGGAUGCUAGGUGUAGGUCGUAGAGAUCUGUGCCGGAGUUAACGCGAUAAGCAUCCCGCCUGGGGAGUACGGCCGCAAGGCUAAAACUCAAACGAAUUGACGGGGACCCGCACAAGCAGCGGAGCGUGUGGUUUAAUUCGAUGCUACACGAAGAACCUUACCUGGGCUUGACAUGUAGGUGGUAGCGAAGUGAAAGCGGAGCGACCCUUCGGGGAGCCUACACAGGUGCUGCAUGGCUGUCGUCAGCUCGUGCCGUGAGGUGUCGGGUUAAGUCCCGUAACGAGCGCAACCCUUGUCCUUAGUUACAAGUGUCUAAGGAGACUGCCGGUGACAAACCGGAGGAAGGUGGGGAUGACGUCAAGUCAGCAUGGCCCUUAUGUCCAGGGCGACACACACGCUACAAUGGUCGGUACAAUGGGCAGCGCAGCCGCGAGGUGAAGCGAAUCCCAACAAAGCCGAUCCCAGUUCGGAUUGCAGGCUGCAACCCGCCUGCAUGAAGCCGGAGUUGCUAGUAACCGCGCGUCAGCCAUAGUGCGGUGAAUACGUACCCGGGUCUUGUACACACCGCCCGUCACGUCAUGGGAGUUGGCAACGCCUGAAGCCGGUAGCCUGACCUAACGGAGGGCGCCGUCGAAGGCGGGGCUAGCAACUGGGACGAAGUCGUAACAAGGUAACC
RNAcentral lists this ribosomal RNA (1462 nucleotides) under uncultured organism. RNAcentral describes it as "bacterial SSU rRNA". It matches the Rfam family "Bacterial small subunit ribosomal RNA". The record is from RNAcentral.